GGCGUGGUGCUCGAACGGCUAAGGGAGCGGUUUGCAAAACCGUAUGUAGUGGGUUCAACUCCCACCCACGCCUCCA
RNAcentral lists this transfer RNA (76 nucleotides) under Lentisphaeria bacterium. RNAcentral describes it as "tRNA-Cys". It matches the Rfam family "tRNA". From Rfam's summary of the family: Transfer RNA (tRNA) molecules are approximately 80 nucleotides in length. Their secondary structure includes four short double-helical elements and three loops (D, anti-codon, and T loops). RNAcentral also lists the same sequence under 1 other name. The record is from RNAcentral. Lineage: Bacteria; Pseudomonadati; Lentisphaerota; Lentisphaeria.